This is a long non-coding RNA of Aedes aegypti (yellow fever mosquito), 445 nucleotides long. RefSeq lists it as uncharacterized. The record is from RefSeq and is a predicted model, not a curated record. NCBI's taxonomy places the organism in Eukaryota, Metazoa, Arthropoda, Insecta, Diptera, Culicidae. The transcript is spliced from 2 exons.
GUGGAAUGUGUUCUAACGCGAAUCAAAUCUUUUGCUGACGACACCAUUGAUAAGGAAGCCACAAAAAUGUCUUUUAUCAAAUCGAUUGGCAUCAAAACGUUUUUUGGAGCAGUGACCAAUCGCUCAGUUGAUCUUUGCCAUAAGAGGAUUCUGAACAAUACUGCUCUUCAACUUGCUAAGCCAGUUUCUCACGAAUCCAAUCGAACGGGCUGUAGUUUUGUACCUACUGUCUUUUUGGACUGUUUCAAGGAAAAUGUUUUCAUGAACUGCCCAAAACAAAAAUGGAUUAACGUUCCCGAGUGUAAUGCCCUUAGAUCGAAAAUCUCUUCCGGAUGUACCUUCAAUGCUAUCAAGGGCUAUUCAAACAGUACACAUUUUUGAUUGGAAUUGCAUACCUAUGCAGAAAAAUGCUGAGGAAUAAACUCUCAAAUUAAUCCGCUCCAUA